RNAcentral lists this transfer RNA (64 nucleotides) under Atelura formicaria. Its description in RNAcentral is "tRNA-Asp". Lineage: Eukaryota; Metazoa; Arthropoda; Insecta; Zygentoma; Nicoletiidae. The record is from RNAcentral.
GAGAAAUUAGUUAAUUAUAAUAACCUAAGAAUGUCAAACUUAAAUUACCAAAAGGUAUUUCUCA